AUGGCUCUUUGUUAACCAAAUAUAAAGAGUCUGGCCUGCCCGGUGAUUUUUUAUUUAACGGCCGCGGUACUUUGACCGUGCGAAGGUAGCAUAAUCAUUUGUCUUAUAAUUGAAGUCUGGAAUGAAUGGUUGGACAAGAGCAAAGCUGUCUCUAACUAUCAAGCAUAACUUUAUCAUCAAGUUAAAAAGCUUGAAUAUAAUUAAAAGACGAGAAGACCCUAUCGAGCUUCAGGGUAUAUUAAAAUUUCUUACAUUUAUGUAAAAACAAUAUUUAAAUUUACUUUAGUUGGGGCGACUCGAGAACAUAAAAAGCUUCUUGUUUUUAAAAUACUGAUGAUUGACCCUUAAUUUAGGAUUAAAAAAAUUAGUUACCGUAGGGAUAACAGCAUUAUCUUUUUUGAGAGCUCAAAUCGAAAAAAAGGUUUGUGACCUCGAUGUUGGACCAAGAUAUCCUUAAGAUGCAGAAGUCUUAGAAGGUUGGUCUGUUCGACCAUUAAAAUCUUACGUGAUCUGAGUUCAGACCGG
This 525-nucleotide ribosomal RNA is filed under the name Marsenia sp. MNHN IM 2019-10001. RNAcentral's name for it is "partial large subunit ribosomal RNA". It matches the Rfam family "Bacterial large subunit ribosomal RNA", at positions 1815 to 2619 of the family's 2925-position model. The record is from RNAcentral. Lineage: Eukaryota; Metazoa; Mollusca; Gastropoda; Littorinimorpha; Velutinidae.